This 250-nucleotide ribosomal RNA is filed under the name uncultured bacterium. RNAcentral describes it as "partial 16S ribosomal RNA". It matches the Rfam family "Bacterial small subunit ribosomal RNA", at positions 336 to 603 of the family's 1533-position model. The record is from RNAcentral.
UUCCUACGGGGGGCAGUAGUGGGGGAUAUUGCACAAUGGGGGGAACCCUGAUGCAGCGACGCCGCGUGGGCGAUGGAGUGCUUCGGCAUGUAAAGCCCUAUCAGCAGGGAAGAAAAUGACGGUACCUGAAGAAGAAGCCCCGGCUAACUACGUGCCAGCAGCCGCGGUAAUACGUAGGGGGCAAGCGUUAUCCGGAUUUACUGGGUGUAAAGGGGGCGCAGACGGCGAUGCAAGCCAGGAGUGAAAGCCC